UACGGAGGGUGCGAGCGUUAAUCGGAAUUACUGGGCGUAAAGCGCACGCAGGCGGCUUGUUAAGCUAGAGGUGAAAGCCCCGCGCUCAACGUGGGAACUGCCUUUAGAACUGGCAGGCUAGAGUCUUUGGAGAGGGGAGUGGAAUCCAGGUGUAGCGGUGAAAUGCGUAGAUAUCUGGAGGAACAUCAGUGGCGAAGGCGGCUCCCUGGCCAAAGACUGACGCUCAUGUGCGAAAGUGUGGGUAGCGAACAGG
RNAcentral lists this ribosomal RNA (253 nucleotides) under uncultured bacterium. Its description in RNAcentral is "partial 16S ribosomal RNA". It matches the Rfam family "Bacterial small subunit ribosomal RNA", at positions 524 to 776 of the family's 1533-position model. The record is from RNAcentral.